GGGCGGAUUAGUGGCGAACGGGUGAGUAACACGUGAGUAACCUGCCCUUGACUUCGGGAUAACUCCGGGAAACCGGGGCUAAUACCGGAUAUGAGCCGUCCUCGCAUGGGGGUGGUUGGAAAGUUUUUCGGUCAGGGAUGGGCUCCCGGCCUAUCAACUUGGUGGUGGGGUGAUGGCCUACCAAGGCGACCACCGGUAGCCGGCCUGAAAGGGCGACCGGCCACACUGGGACUGAAACACGGCCCARACUCCUACGGGAGGCAGCAGUGGGGAAUAUUGCACAAUGGGCGAAAGCCUGAUGCAGCGACSCCSCGUGAGGGAUGAAGGCCUUCSGGUUGUAAACCUCUUUCAGCAGGGAAGAAGCGCAAGUGACGGUACCUGCAGAAGAAGCGCCGGCUAACUACSUGCCAGCAGCCGCGGUAAUACGUAGGGCGCAAGCGUUGUCCGGAAUUAUUGGGCGUAAAGAGCUCGUARGCGGUUUGUCGCGUCUGGUGUGAAAACUCGAGGCUCAACCUCGAGCUUGCAUCGGGUACGGGCAGACUAGAGUGCGGUAGGGGAGACUGGAAUUCCUGGUGUAGCGGUGGAAUGCGCAGAUAUCAGGAGGAACACCGAUGGCGAAGGCAGGUCUCUGGGCCGCAACUGACGCUGAGGAGCGAAAGCAUGGGGAGCGAACAGGAUUAGAUACCCUGGUAGUCCAUGCCGUAAACGUUGGGCACUAGGUGUGGGGC
RNAcentral lists this ribosomal RNA (728 nucleotides) under Actinomycetes bacterium. RNAcentral describes it as "bacterial SSU rRNA". It matches the Rfam family "Bacterial small subunit ribosomal RNA", at positions 85 to 828 of the family's 1533-position model. The record is from RNAcentral. Lineage: Bacteria; Bacillati; Actinomycetota; Actinomycetes.